GAUGAAGAACGCAGCGAAAUGCGAUAAGUAAUGCGAAUUGCAGAAUUCCAGUGAGUCAUCGAAUCUUUGAACGCACAUUGCGCCCUUUGGUAUUCCGAAGGGCAUGCCUGUUCGAGCGUCAUUAUCACCCCUCAAGCCCUCGGCUUGGUGUUGGACGGUUUGGUGGAGGCCCCCUCGGGGGCUCCUGCCCCUCCCAAAGACAAUGACGGCGGCCUCGUUGGACCCCCGGUACACUGAGUUCUUCACGGGACACGUAUCGGACACAUGGGUUUACGGGACACGGUCUGCCUCCCCUCAGGGAGAAUCUUUCUAAGGUUGACCUCGGAUCAGGUAGGGAUACCUGCUGAACUUAAGCAUAUCAAUAAGCGGAGGA
This 373-nucleotide unclassified non-coding RNA is filed under the name soil metagenome. RNAcentral's name for it is "partial contains 5.8S ribosomal RNA, internal transcribed spacer 2, and large subunit ribosomal RNA". The stretch from base 1 to 121 matches the Rfam family "5.8S ribosomal RNA", at positions 35 to 154 of the family's 154-position model. The record is from RNAcentral.